Molecule: ribosomal RNA, 110 nt
Filed under: Caerostris darwini
Lineage: Eukaryota; Metazoa; Arthropoda; Arachnida; Araneae; Araneidae
Source: RNAcentral
AACGGCCAUACCAUGCUGAAUAUACCGGUUUUCGUUAGAUCGCUGAAGUCAAGCAUCAUUGUCGCGGUCAGUACUUGGGUGGGUCACCACCUAGGAACACCGCGUGGCGU